RNAcentral lists this microRNA (19 nucleotides) under Xenopus tropicalis (tropical clawed frog). RNAcentral describes it as "xtr-miR-33b". Its record names the gene xtr-miR-33b. The record is from miRBase by way of RNAcentral. Lineage: Eukaryota; Metazoa; Chordata; Amphibia; Anura; Pipidae.
GUGCAUUGUUGUUGCAUUG